CCUACGGGGGGCAGCAGUGAGGAAUAUUGGUCAAUGGGCGCUAGCCUGAACCAGCCAAGUAGCGUGAAGGAUGACUGCCCUAUGGGUUGUAAACUUCUUUUAUAUGGGAAUAAAGUGCAGUAUGUAUACUGCUUUGCAUGUACCUUAUGAAUAAGGAUCGGCUAACUCCGUGCCAGCAGCCGCGGUAAUUCGGAGGAUCCGAGCGUUAUCCGGAUUUAUUGGGUUUAAAGGGAGCGUAGGCGGGUUGUUAAGUCAGUUGUGAAAGUUUGCGGCUCAACCGUAAAAUUGCAGUUGAUACUGGCAUCCUUGAGUACAGUAGAGGUAGGCGGAAUUCGAGGUGUAGCGGUGAAAUGCUUAGAUAUCACGCAGAACCCCGAGUGCGAAGGCAGCCUGCCAAGCCAUGACUGACGCUGAGGCACGAAAGCGUGGGGGUCAAACAGGAUUAGAUACCCCUGUAGUC
This 460-nucleotide ribosomal RNA is filed under the name uncultured bacterium. RNAcentral describes it as "partial 16S ribosomal RNA". It matches the Rfam family "Bacterial small subunit ribosomal RNA", at positions 338 to 795 of the family's 1533-position model. The record is from RNAcentral.